CCGUCUUCUGCGUGGCUCACGCUGGGAGCUGUAGACCGGAGCUGUUCCUAUUCGGCCAUCUUGGCUCCUCUUGCUCUUCCAGAUCCUGGAAUCAGAAUUCACUGAGGAGAUGUUUUUGUUCCAAGACCCUCUCCAGUAAAGGCAGGAUGGUCAUGAAUAGACAAUGCCAUGACUCCCCUUCCCCAUGAGCUCACCUCUGUUUCCCACUUCAACAGACAGAGGGAAUUUAAUAUGAGGAACUCGUGAUAAAACUAUUGGAAAAGCCACGAGGGCUAAGAAGGGCUACAGGAAGCUACCACUCAUUCAAGGACUGGAGGAAAAAUGGGAAGAAGGUGCUGUUACCAGAGUCCAGGAGCCGGGGCUUCCUGGCAGGAGGUGGGACUCCGAAGGAAUCACAACCACUGCUGGAGAAUGGACAACAGAGACAAGGCCAAUCCCCUGGAAUCUCUCUCUCCUUUGAAACCUACGGUUUCAUACCAGGGUUUCCAUUUCAGAAACCCAGAUGAAUAUCAGUUGACAAAGUGUUUGUAGAGUGAAACACCCUGAAUACAGAGCAGAGCAAAGAGGAAAAUGGGGUCGAAUCUGAGAGCAGACAGGUGAAUGACUAGCACAGAUGCAUCACUCUUGAUUGAUUACUAUAUAAUGCCACAGGUCUAAGGCACCAUGUCUCACUCUAGGUGUAUGCCUGGGGAUAUGUGGUGAUACCUUAGAAUUUUGAGGAGCCCAUGAGGCAGCAUACUCUGUUGAAGUCUGAAGACAUAUAUUUGGAUUCUUAAAAUACUGUGACAGCAGAUUAAAGAUGAGAAAUUACCCAGAGCUGAGUCUGAUAUAUGCUGUUAGUAUACUUCAAUUCAGCCUGAUUUCUGAAAUCAAAGGACUUUAAGACAACCAUGUGUGAAUCAUUAAACAUUUUAAUGUCAAUAAGUUACUUUAAUAUUCAAAUAGUCAUAUAAGUAAAAUGCACAUGACUUUUAAAGACAGAAAAUGAAACCUAAAGAAAUCUUCUCCUUCCCAGGAUGUAAUCCUCACUGCCAGACCUCAGUCACUGUACUAAGCCCCAGACAAGAAAUAUUAAACAUGGUGUCUGGCCUCAGUGAACUUACUGACUUUUGGGGGAGAAAAAAAGUAACAAAAACAUUUUAAAAACACACACAUGAAAAAUAUUGCAAAACAAAUAUUGAACUAUUUAGGGAACAUACAUUUAUUAGUUACCUACUAAAGAACGCCCUGUGCUAGAAAACUGAUUCAUUUAUUCAAAAACAUUUCUUGAUUAUCUACUAAUUGCCAGCCUGGUAAUAAAUGGAAUGUGUUAGUUGCAUUAAAGAUAAAAAUCUGGUUUGUAGGCUUGUCUUCUCCAUUACACUCUAAGCUCACUGAAGAUAGGGGCUCUGCUUUAUUUAUCUUUUGAAUUCUCAGAGUUUACUUCAGUAUCUAACCAAUGCAAAGUACUCAAUAAAUAUUGUUGACCCAAGAAAUGACUGUCUACCUUAAACCUGUUUAUCUGUACUAUCACCAAGUCUCACCCACAGUUUUGCUUUUUAUCCAUUUGGUUGUCUAUUUGCCACCAUCCUGCCAACUCGCCCCACCCUGCACCUAGAAUAAUCAUGUUCUUUACCCAAACUCUAAACCAGUUCCUUUCCAAGGAGGUCCACUGAUUAAGCUAUGUAGUAAAUUGAAAAAAAAAAAAAAUGAACUACUGAUACCAGCACAAACAUGCAUACAGACAAAAUUAAAUUUUAAAAAAUUCCCACAAAACAUUCUGAAAAAUGUGAAGUGUGUUUGAAAUCACCUAAUUUCCUAUUGCAGUUAAUGUCACUACCAAACUUCUUAACCAAACUUAUGUUGCCCUAGUAGUUCCAGGCAUAGCACCUUGUCCAUUUGUCUUGCUGGAUCUCAGUUUAAUCCAGGAAGGGUCUUUGCUGAUGUCCAAGUCAUUAUCCCAGAGCUGCAUCAUGUAAAAUUCAUUGCA
Molecule: long non-coding RNA, 1969 nt
Filed under: Homo sapiens (human)
Lineage: Eukaryota; Metazoa; Chordata; Mammalia; Primates; Hominidae
Description: HSALNT0198427
Source: RNAcentral